AGAAUAUUCCGCAAUGGACGAAAGUCUGACGGAGCGACGCCGCGUGGAUGAUGAAGGCCGGAAGGUUGUAAAAUCCUUUUAUGACUGAGGAAUAAGUGAAGUGAGAGAAACGCUUCAUGGUGACUGUAGGUCAUGAAUAAGCAACGGCUAAUUACGUGCCAGCAGCCGCGGUAACACGUAAGUUGCGAGCGUUGUUCGGAAUUAUUGGGCGUAAAGGGCAUGUAGGCGGUUCUGCAAGUCUGGUGUGAAAUGCCGGGGCUCAACCCCGGAACUGCGUUGGAAACUGCAGGACUUGAGUCGCUGAGGGGCAGCCAGAAUUCCAGGUGUAGGGGUGAAAUCUGUAGAUAUCUGGAAGAAUACCAAUGGCGAAGGCAGGCUGCCAGCAGAUGACUGACGCUGAGGUGCGAAGGUGCGGGGAGCAAACA
Molecule: ribosomal RNA, 425 nt
Filed under: uncultured Treponema sp.
Lineage: Bacteria; Pseudomonadati; Spirochaetota; Spirochaetia; Treponematales; Treponemataceae
Description: bacterial SSU rRNA
Rfam family: Bacterial small subunit ribosomal RNA
Source: RNAcentral